AUCUCCGACUGGGGACAGUGAGGAAGGCCAGGGGAAGAAAGAAGAAAAAGAAGGGGGGAAAGGAAAGGGGGGACAGCUUGAUACAGAGCCUGAAAGACCAGAAUCCAACAAUCACCUUCCUCUGAUGGUCAAACUCACUCCAGUUCUUUAGAAUUAGCCAAAGUCGUGAAUCUGGAGUGAUGGGCAGACCCAUUCUCUUGUUGAGAUGGCGGGUCAAAGACCACAAUUUCCUCUGGCAUAAUUUCUACUAAGGAUCCUAAAUGGUCGACAAGGGAUUCAAGAUGUAACUUCUAAGGGAGACCUCGCUCCCCUCAAAAGGAACACGAAGCAAACAUAUUCAUCCUUCAGUGACUUGAGUGAGGUUGGAACAUUUUAAAGGCUGUCCUUUUAAAAAUUGGAUUCCCACAGAUGAGCAUCUGCAGUUGGCUGACGACGGUGCCAAAAGCUACAGGAAACCACUGGAGAAAUGGCUUUGGUACAAGGCUUUCCUCUGCUCAUAAGGACCUUCCGGUGCUGAGGCCAACAGCCCAUCCUCGAAGGAGCUUACAUUGCAACUUUUGAAAUUACCUCCUUUCCAUUUUAUUUUAUUUUAUUUUGUCUUUUUGAAAUUACCUCCUUUUCAAAGACUUCUUUGAUGGGACAUUUGUAAAGGACCUGGCUCUUCGGCUCAAUGACUAGAAGUAUCCAGAUAUGUGGGACAAUUUCUGAAGGACAGACUUCUCCCCUCAAAGGAACCCCUUAGGAUCACUUUAAGACACUUGAGAUGAAACUUUUGAAAUGGAUGCCCCUCCCCCUCUACAGGAUCUCCUGUUGCUGAUGCCAAUGGUUAGGGACCAGAGGGCAUCAGCCAGUGACUGGAGGAUGGAACUUUCUAAAAGACCCAAUGUUUGAACCCCCAGGAAAGUGGUGUUUUCAAGGGACAGGAUACAUAGGCUGCUGACUGCCUGCCCUGGGGAAAGGGAUGAUGUGCCAAUGUGAAGCUGAAGAAAUAUUCACAGCCAGUCUUGGGAGGGCUGGCCAGAAAAAAACACACACAAAAAAGCUGAAGUCCCAGGGUGCUAGCUAAAGUUUCAGGGUACCCUUUAAGAGUUGUCUUCAAGACAGGAGGUCUUUGACUUUCACCAGAGUGCUGCCCCAGUCAGAAUCACAGCCUCAAAGUCCUCCAAGUCUUGACGCAGAGAGAACGUUUCAGAGGAAGUCUCCAAGCCCAUACUACAGUGGCUCCAUGGAGGAACCAGAGUCAAGCACCAGGGCAGAGGCUACAUAACAGGAAUGCAGGGUUUUAAAUGGACGUCAGAGGUCAUUAUCAUUACGCUGUGGGGCAAGGAAGUCUUCCAGCACACAAUCAAAAUGGUUCGGAAUGGAUGAAGCACGUGUUGAAACCAGAUUUCCUCGGAUUUGUUCUCAUUAUCCUUGCUGGAAAGUGGACAUGUCAUUUUAGAUGAAGGAAGGAAGGCGGCGAAGUGCAGGGACUCUGAUGCCACGGAUGGUGUCAUCUAGUUGCUCUGAUCUGUGUGCCAGGUGCCCCCACCAUCCUGACGAAGCUCUGAUUGGCGGACAAGGCUUCCCUCGUGCUCUGGCCAGGGAAGAUGACUCCUCUCCGCUUCUCUAGUGUCAACUGCUGUCACACGUCUGCAUCACGGAUCUCAAGUUCUCUACAUGAAAUCUAUACCAUUCUUUUCCCAGAGAUUGAACAUCCCCAGCUUUGAAAGAAAUGAUCACUUUCAAGGCAAGGGUGCCUCCCCAUCAUUGACUGCCUGAUGCUUGAUUUCCAGUUAUCUGACGCAGGAAUGAAGCUCUGAGAUAAGUCUUCAGACAGAAAGUACCGAAAACAGGACCGCAACCACAAAAGGCUAAGAAAACUAGGUGUAAACACUCCAGAGUCAACCAGUUGCAAAAAUCUGCAGGGGCUCUUCCUACACCCAAGAGCUGAUUAGAUCCUUCAAACUAAGAGAAGGGUGUACUCCCUCACCUAACCUCUAGAAACUGAUGGACUCCUAACACUACCACUAACAUGGUAUGAUCCCACUUAAGCCUGUCAUCUGAUGCCCAGCGUGUGCUUCAAGGACCAAGGACUCCUGAUUAUCCCCCGAGUAUCUCUUGAGUUUCGGCUUGGCUCUGUCUCCUGCUCACCUGCCUCUACCAGAGCAGCUGUUUCCAGUUUCCUGCUUCUGCCUCGGCUGAACUCAGCAGCACCCACAGCAAGGCCCUCCCAGAACCAGUCUGGUUCAUUAUCAAUACGGACUCUCCCUCAGCCCACUUCUGAAACCUCUUUGAACUGCUACAACUCAUUCUGUAAUCUAUAAAGAUGUAUAUAGGCAUA
Molecule: long non-coding RNA, 2323 nt
Organism: Myodes glareolus (Bank vole)
Lineage: Eukaryota; Metazoa; Chordata; Mammalia; Rodentia; Cricetidae
Source: RefSeq, a predicted model, not a curated record